Molecule: non-coding RNA, 1364 nt
Organism: Taeniopygia guttata (zebra finch)
Lineage: Eukaryota; Metazoa; Chordata; Aves; Passeriformes; Estrildidae
Source: RefSeq, a predicted model, not a curated record
GUUUUCCAUUCUGUCAGUGGCACACUCAGCAGCUCCUGCCAUAAGCACAAGUCCAAGCUGCUGAUGGCAGCGAAGGGAAAGUCUGUGCUGCGUGGGAGAUCUCUGGACUCCCACAGUGAAUGUGCACAUUUUAGUGCAGGAGUUCAAUGUCCAUUACCAGAUACUAAAAUAAGCUUGGUUCCCUCUGCCUCCAAUACUCACUUUGUGGUUGUUGUGUUCUUUCCUAACCAUUCCAGCUGGAUGGUCCCGUGGGCUCCUGACUGCUCCUACCUCUCCACGUGGCAGGAAACAGAAGGUGAUGUUUCCAAAGGAACUGACCCACAACCUUGGAAGUCUGUUGCCUGGUUCUGAGGAGUAAAUGGGAAGGUUACAGGAGCUAAAGCUGGAUGUAAUAAAUUCCUAAACCUUAAUAACAAAAGAAGCUUCUUUAAUGGAGAAGUUAACAGUCCUGUGAGGGGAUUAUUUUUUUAACUCAGAGGCUGACUGACACUGUCAUCGUUCUCCAGCGUCUCAGCCAUCCCAGCAGAGCACUGGGUGGAUCCUUCUGUCUCUGCUGGAGGUUCAGCUUCACAGCCCAGGGGAGGAGUCACUGCUGGGGCAGAAGUCACAGAGUGACUCUGCUGCUCCCCAAGCUCCUGCCAGGAUUGUGGACACAGGUAGAAAUUAUGGGAAAGAAAGUGACUCAGUUGAGCUGUUUUGUUCUGAAAUUGUGUUUGUUAGGGAAAAAAGGUAAGGAUGAGAAAUCUUGGGCUGAAUAGAUUUUUUUCCAUGAAAUACCAAAAGCAAUAUUGGGAAACUUACUGUUUCUGUUGGUAAUGGCUAUAUGCUCCUGCACUUAUCCUAUUAGUUUUCCUUUCAAAUAUCAGAAAUUCAGAGACUCUUCAAAUUGAAUUGUCUCCCGUCCAUGGUAUUUCCUUGGUUGUUUUUCAAAACAAAAAUGCUUGGUCAGUAAUAGUUAAAAACUCUUGAAAUGCAUUUUUUCACGACCAAUGAAAAUGCUGUAUGACAGGCAAGGAACACAGCCAGGAGAAGGUGAUGCAUUAAUUCUUGAGUGGAGAUGAACCUGUUGUCCGUAGUGGGGAAGCUUCUCUGCCCCUUCAGAGCACAGGGACUGAGUUUGGCUUGAUUGGAGCCAAGGCAGUCCAGGCUUUCCCUGCCUGCUUAGGUGGGGUGGGCACCUGUGACACCGGAGCUGGGGAGGAACUUCAACCCUUCUGAGGGCUGACCCCCUUUAUUGUUCCAGCAGAGCCCUUUUGGGGGAAUGUACACUUGUAAAUUGUUAAAGCAACGUGCUGCUGCCCAGGGCAGUUUGACUCUUUUUGACUCACCCUUCUUCGGGGGUGAGGAAAAAAGGCUGGGGAGGA